RNAcentral lists this ribosomal RNA (600 nucleotides) under uncultured bacterium. RNAcentral describes it as "bacterial SSU rRNA". It matches the Rfam family "Bacterial small subunit ribosomal RNA", at positions 733 to 1343 of the family's 1533-position model. The record is from RNAcentral.
GCUUUAACUGACGCUGAGGCACGAAAGCAUGGGUAGCAAACAGGAUUAGAUACCCUGGUAGUCCAUGCCGUAAACGAUGAUUACUAGGUGUGGGGGGAUUGACCCCUUCCGUGCCGCAGUUAACACAAUAAGUAAUCCACCUGGGGAGUACGGCCGCAAGGUUGAAACUCAAAGGAAUUGACGGGGGCCCGCACAAGCAGUGGAGUAUGUGGUUUAAUUCGAAGCAACGCGAAGAACCUUACCAGGUCUUGACAUCGAGUGACGUAUCCAGAGAUGGAUAUUCCCUACGGGGCACGAAGACAGGUGGUGCAUGGUUGUCGUCAGCUCGUGUCGUGAGAUGUUGGGUUAAGUCCCGCAACGAGCGCAACCCUUGCUGUUAGUUGCUACGCAAGAGCACUCUAACAGGACUGCCGUUGAUAAAACGGAGGAAGGUGGGGACGACGUCAAAUCAUCAUGCCCCUUAUGACCUGGGCUACACACGUACUACAAUGGCCGUAAACAAAGGGAAGCAAAGGAGCGAUCCGGAGCAAACCCCCAAAAACGGUCCCAGUUCAGAUUGUAGGCUGCAACCCGCCUACAUGAAGUGGAAUGCUAGUAAUC